CCUACGGGUGGCUGCAGUGGGGAAUAUUGCACAAUGGGGGAAACCCUGAUGCAGCAACGCAGCGUGAGUGAAGAAGUAUUUCGGUAUGUAAAGCUCUAUCAGCAGGGAAGAAGAAAGACGGUACCUGACUAAGUAGCCCGGGCUAACUACGUGCCAGCAGCCGAGGUAAUACGUAGGGGGCAAGCGUUAUCCGGAUGUACUGGGGGUAAAGGGAGCGUAGACGGCUGUGCAAGUCUGAAGUGAAAGCCCGUGGCUCAACCGCGGAACUGCUUGGGAAACGGGAUAGCUUGAGUACUGGAGAGGCAGGCGGAAUUCCUAGUGUAGCGGUGAAAUGCGUAGAUAUUAGGAGGAACACCAGUGGCGAAGGCGGCCUGCUGGACAGAUACUGACGUUGAGGCUCGAAGGCGUGGGGAGCAAACAGGAUUAGAUACCCGAGUAGUC
Molecule: ribosomal RNA, 441 nt
Filed under: uncultured bacterium
Lineage: Bacteria
Description: partial 16S ribosomal RNA
Rfam family: Bacterial small subunit ribosomal RNA
Source: RNAcentral